Molecule: non-coding RNA, 29 nt
Filed under: Homo sapiens (human)
Lineage: Eukaryota; Metazoa; Chordata; Mammalia; Primates; Hominidae
Source: RNAcentral
UGGUCCGUAUCCCAUUCUAUCUCAGAUGC